GGUCUGUUAGCUCAGUCGGUAGAGCGCGGUGCUGAUAACGCCAAGGUGGUGAGUUCGAUACUCACACAGACCA
Non-coding RNA from Pocillopora verrucosa, 73 nucleotides. Lineage: Eukaryota; Metazoa; Cnidaria; Anthozoa; Scleractinia; Pocilloporidae. The record is from the annotation of a RefSeq genome assembly.